CAUUUCUGUGGAAUCCCGGAUGAUGAGCAUCACCAAGUGCAGAAGCUGAGUUGGGUGGAACAGUUGCUCACAGUGGGGCAGCUCACUCAUUGCCUUGACACAUGCUCUUGUUUUGCCAUGAACAUAAACUUGUGGUGGGGCCUAUUUACAGCCCUGGUGCCAAAGUUUCAACCACAGUGAGAGACCUAAGGAUUUCAAGGAAAACUCAAAGCACCAAUAUUCAGUGAUAGAAGACUCAGAGGUUUGAUGCAGAGUUCACUCUCUGAAAAUGAACGUUCAGUAAAAGCAUGUCUGAUUUGGAGGCUUCAUAUAAACUGCCUGUGAAGUAGACGCCACUUUGCAGGAAUCCGGUCAGCUGUAACAUUCCUGAAGGAGGAGGAGGAUGGUUCAGAGAAUGCGGUUCUUCUUCGAAACAAAGAUCCACAUCAGAAUCAUGAGGCUGAAGGAGCAUUUUGCAUAUAAUAGGCACUCACUCAGUGGGUUGAAUGAAUCAAUAUAUUAACAAAGAAACAAAUAAAUGAAUGAAGAGAAGAAUGAAAACUCAUAAAGAGCCAGUUUCCUUUAUUCAUCUGAAAAUUUGGUUAUUUGCAAAUGUAAUUCACUUAAGACGAGUUCAUCAGGGUGGACCCUAAUCCAAUAUGACUGGUGUCCUUAUAAUAAGAGAAGACAGAAAUACACAGGGAGCGUGCCGUGUGACAACAGAGGCAGACACUGAACUGAUGUUAUUGCAAGCUGAGGAACAUAAAGGAUUGCCGGCAACACCAGAAGCUAGGAUGACUCAAGGAAUGACCCUCCUCUAGAACCUUCAGAGAAAGCACGGCCCUACUGACAACUUAACUUUGGACUUCCAAUCUCUAGAACUGUAAGAUAAUAAAUACCUGUUGUUUUAAGCCACCAAAGUUUGUGGCACAUUUUCUUGUUAUAGCAGCCCUAGGAAACAGAGCUAUCCAUAUUUGUAUAGAUUGUAUGAUACAGUUGCACAGCUUCCAGUGACCGCCAUUAUAGAAGCUAGGAAGAGUCAAGGAAGAGAGUUCUGUCAGAGACUCAGAGGGAGCUGAGUAGCCAGACCAGGCUGACAUCUUGAUUUCAAAGUUUUAGCCUCCAGAAAGAACACAUUUUUUUUUGUUUGAAGCACCCAGUUUGUCGUACUUUGUAAUAGCAGGUCUGGGAGACUACCAUGGAUGGUAUCCCUUCCAAUGACUCCAUCAUGAUAUUAUCACUGAGCAUUUCCCAUACGGUGUCCAGGAAUUAUGUGCAUACAACCCACCACAAGUGAGAAAGUAGUCAUUUCCCAGCUUUGCCACUGGGCUCUGUUUUCAAGGAUGAGUCAGGUAGCAGCCCACUGUGUGUCCCAGACUGCAGGGGACACAUUUUCCCUCACUGGGGCAGGAGGAGGAACUGACAUUGAGCCAACACCCUUUUAUUUCUAACAGCUUCAACCCUUUCAUAGCUUCUCGUUGGCAUUAGGCUGUAUGGAUAAGAGGCCUCUAUUGCAGGAUCUGCACAAGUCAUUCAGUGCCUCACUUUGGAGAUUGGAAAUACUGCACCUGUUCUUUUAGUUUCUGACUUUUGGAGCUUUUGAGAAAACUGAAACAGAAAUUGUCCCAUUUCGAUAUUCUGAUUUAAACCUAAAUUAAUUUCUGCCAGAUUUUCAGGUUUAUUGAUAUUAAGUUGCACAGAGUGUUUUUUAAAGUUUAAAAAAUCUUCUUUGGAUAUAUUUGGUUUUUUUCUCUCACAUGUUUUCUUAAUCAAACUUGCUGACCUUUGUUUUGUAUUCUGUACUAGUCUCUAAAAAAAGAAUCAUCUUUCUAUUUUACUGAUAAUUCUACCAAUAUAUUUGUUAUCAAUUUUACUAUUUUUCCUUUUAAUAUUUAUUACUUUCUAUCAUCUCUCUGGUUUAUUUCAUUGCUUAGCUUCUAGAGUUGAAUACUUCUUUGGUUUUUAUGCAAAAUUUUUUUCUAAUAAAUGCAUUUUUUUUCCCUUGGGUAUCAGCUUGGCCAUGUAGGAGACAUGCCCAGCCAGCGUUCAUCUGCCUGCCUCACCUUUUCCUCUUUUCUACUUGCUGUAUGGAACUUACAUCUGGUUAGGAAUCGGUCCCACUACAUUAGAUACAUAGGGCUGUCAUGCCAGUUUUCUAUAUGGUAUUUUUAAAAAUUCUGCCUUGUUUCUUCUUUGAUCCAAAAUUUAUUUAGAAGACCUUAGUCUUCUAAAUAUCUGCUGAUGCUUUGGAAUGGUUGCUGGCCUUUUGUUGUUAGCUUUUGGGUUACUGACCCUUUGAUGUUAAAUUUGAAUUUUCAUUGGAUUUUAAUUUACUGGAUUUUAAUAAAAUUUUAUUAUAUUUCAAUAAGUUAAAAGGGUCUGCAUGAGUUGUGCUUUGAAAAUUUGUCACCAUUUAAAAAAAUUUCCCAAUAUAUUGUAAAUUUGUGAAUGUUCCAUCUGUUUGAAAAUAACAUGUAUUCUGUUCCUUGGAUACAAAGUUCUACCACAAUUUAUAGAUCAAGCAAUUGAAUUAUGCAUCCUAAAUUCUCAAUAUCUUUAAUUUGUUAAUUAAUAUUUAAAGAUACACUUGUUGAAGUUUCUCAUUGUGAUUAUGAAAUUGUUUAUUUUUCUUUUAAUAAGAUUUUUAUUUCAAAAUUAAGUUGUUAGGAGCACAAAUAUUCAUGAUAAUAGUAAAGUUUUAAUGGAGUUAACAUUUUAUUAAUAUGAAAUAUCCAUCUUUGUCCCCUUUCAGUAGUUUUUAUCCUGAAUUCUACUUUAUCUCAUUUUAAUGUCCCUAUAUAUGCUCUCCUUUUGUUAGCCUUUGCUUUCAAUACCUUUUUGCCUUCUUUUAUUUUUAACCUCCCUAUGUUGUGUCAUUGUAUUUGGAUUUCUGAAAAAUAACAAAUGGCUGUAACAUUUCUCCAGUAGGAGAAUCUUUGUCUUUUAAUAUAUACAUUUAACCCAGGAAAAUGUAUCAUGAUUACUGAUAAAAUUGACUAUGUUCUCAGAACCAUAGUUCGUAGUUUAUCUUUUAUAUGCUUUCUUGCCGUCUCUUUUCCUUAACUGCUUAUGUGAUUAAGUUAUUUGUUCCUUUUUUUCCUCCAAAUGAUUUGGGAGUAAGGCAUCCUAAUUCUCAGUGGUUAACCUCAAGUCUUUAAUAAGUAUGCUUAAAUAUAUACAGAAAAUCAAAUCAAAACCACAAUGAGAUACCUACCAUCUCGCAUCAGUUAGAGUGACUAUUACUAAAAAGUCAAAAAAUAACAGAUGCUGGUGAGGUUGCAGAGAAAAAGCAACCCUUAUACACGGUUAGUGGGAGUGUGAAUCAGUUUAACCAUUGUGGAAGACAGUGGGGCGAUUCUUCAAAGACCUAAAAACAGAAAUACCAUUUGACUCAGCAAUCCCAUUACUGGGUAUAUAUAUACCCAAAGAAAUAUAAAUCUUCUAUCAUAAAGACACAUGCAUGAGUAUGUUCAUUGCAGCACUAUUCACAACAGUAAAGACAUGGAAUCUACCUAAAUGCCCACAAUGGUAGACUGGAUAAAGAAAAUGUGGUACAUAUAUACCAUGGAAUACUAGGCAGCCAUUAAAAAAGACUGAGAUCAUGUCAUUUGUAGGAACAUAGAUGGAUCUGGAGGCCACUAUCCUUAGCAAACUAACACAGGAACAGAAAACCAAAUACCACAUGUUCUCACUUAUAAGUGGGAGCUAAACAAUGAGAACACAUGGACAUAUAGAGCAGAAAAACAGACACUGGGACCUAUUGGAGGGUGGAGGUUGAGAGGUGGGAGAGGAUCAGGAAAAAUAACUAGUGGGUACUAGGCUUAAUACCUCAGUAAUAAAAUAAUCUGUUCAACAAACCCUCAUGACAUGAGUUUACCUAUGUAACAAACCUGCGCAUGUACCCCUGAACUUAAAAUAAAAGUUAAAAAAAUGUCAAAAGCUAGAGUCAAUCAGCAUGUAUAUUUCUCCUCCUGGGAUGACAAGAACAUCACCUUUCUUUCUGAUAUCCCUCCCUGUUCUUCCUUGCCACAUGCCCCUCUGCAGCCUCCUAGCUCCCAAUCAGCUUCAUCUCAUUUUUCUCUCUCCCUGCAGUGGAGUAGGUGGGUUGGCAGCAGAAGUAAUUUCAGGUUCCUCAAUUCUUCUGCAUUGCUGGUGAGGGUCUUAAGUGCUGAAAGUCAUUCAUACUGAAAAUAGAUAAUUCUCUUGUCAAUACUGACAAACUCUUACAACAUACUUUUGAUGAAUUAUUUACUCUAACACAAUCUUUGUCUCUUUUCUUCAUUUAACCAAAGACUCAGUUCCAUGACCCGAAGAAGACGGAUGUAGAGAGCAAAGAAAGAGGAGUGGAAAAACUCUCCUAUAUUGAAAUAGCACAA
Molecule: long non-coding RNA, 4355 nt
Organism: Homo sapiens (human)
Lineage: Eukaryota; Metazoa; Chordata; Mammalia; Primates; Hominidae
Source: Ensembl